This is a long non-coding RNA of Rosa rugosa (rugosa rose), 3237 nucleotides long. RefSeq lists it as uncharacterized. The record is from RefSeq and is a predicted model, not a curated record. Lineage: Eukaryota; Viridiplantae; Streptophyta; Magnoliopsida; Rosales; Rosaceae. The transcript is spliced from 3 exons.
UUAAUCACACAACACUAAUCACACAACGGAACAAAAAUCAUCUGUUGUGUGUUCAAGUAAACUCGAUUGUACAACGGUAUUAGUGAUGUUCUGUUGUGUGAAUGUUAACAAAGUGAUAACUUUUUUAUCAGAACUACAUUGCACAACAGAAUUAAGUAUUGUCCGUUGUCUGAGUCUUAAAAAAUUUAGCGGCAGAUUUCCCUCCACUCUGGAGUCUUGGUUGCCUCUUAAAAUCUGAAAUUUGGGCUACUAGGCACAACAGUGCUUGAAAUCUCUGUUGUGUGAUUGAAAAUUGGGAGCCAAAUUUUGAGGAAGCUUGCUUGAAUGUCUUCCACUAGGUACACCUAGUGCAAGCUGUAGAAAUUGGACAACAGAUUUAAGCUAUUCUGUUGUGUGAAGUAGGCACAUAGGCGGCAAAAUUUUGACCCAAAAUGUUGUAGGCGGCAUGUUUCCCUCCAUGUUUUGGCAUUUUGAUUUUAUGUAGUGCAUUCAUACGACAGUUCGUUAGGUUUCUGUUGUGGGAGUAACUUUGAGAAUUUUUUUUCUAGGUAUAAUUGCCACAUCGUGUCCAAAAGAAAAAAAAAAAAAAGAAAACAUACCUUCCGAGUACCUCUCGACACCCUCCAAACUCUCUCUCGACAAAAUGAAACGAAACCCUAAAUCUCAUUCCUCUCUCACAAACCCUAAAGCGGUCGAUUUGGAUCUCUCUCACCAUCCUCUCUCUCUCUCUCUCUCAGCGAAACCCCUCUCUCAUGAAAGCUCUCUCAGUCUCUCGAUCUGCAACCAUGGCCUUUGUCUCAAUCCAUCGCAUUUUUGAACCUUCAGAUUCUAUUCGGGUACCAUAGACUCUUCCCUUAUCCUUCUACAGCCUAUUUUCUAAGCUUCUUUUCUAAAUGGCACCAUUAAAUUAAUUAUUCAUUUUGGUCUCCACUUUCAGAGCCAGCGACCUUCCUAUCCAUAACCAUGGUACCUCUCUCUCUCUCUCUCUGUUUUGAUUGAAAGUUGUUCUUCCAGUUUUCACUAUAAUCUGUGGCAGUAGAGGCUUAAGUUUCUGUUGAGUUAAAGCUAGAAUUUGAUUCGAUUAGUUAAUACAGAGUUGUUUUGAUGAAUUUAGUUCAAAUUGCUUUGGUAUAUGGAAAAGUUGCGUGUUUCUAAGAAAUGGUGAUUUUCUUGUUGCAGACUAAGAGAAAGAAGAAGGCUGGAAUGGCCGGGAAAUAUGGUAAGUUCUAUUAAAUUUAGAGAGACCUAAAUGCUUUUUCUGUUCUAUGUAUUUCGAUGGCUUGUAUUGCUUUUGUGAGUUUGUAUUUAUAGAGACCUAAAUGGAGUUGGAUUCCUAGUCAUUUUCUUGUUGUUUGCCAGAAAUUUGAUGAAGAAGCAUGAUGGUAUGCACAGUCUAGAUUUCUGAAUAUGAGAUGAAUCCUUUUUUUUUUUAAUUAGUUCCUGGUACCAAAUUCUAAUAUGUCAUUGGUUGGAAUAUGCUGGUUCUAUGCAGAUUAUUGAUAGAAGAUGGGUUCUCACUUCUCAAAGGGGCAUCCUUCUUUAAAGAUUGCCGGUAAGCUGAUGGUAUCUUGAAAAACCCAAGAAUGGGAACAACUGUAUAUGUCAUUGAAGAUAUGCAUGUUCCGCUAUCUCAAUGGUGAAACAGAAAGCGACUAACUUCUGGAGGUAAUUAAUUAGAAACUUUUUGUUUUUAUUUAUCAUCCUACUCUAUAUGCACAUGUAGGAUCAUUAAUUGCAGCUUAUAGUGGACAUGAUUGUCCAUUAAGAGCUAAAGACUUGAGCUUCAAAACUAAAUGAAGAGGAGCUGUUUCCAAGUGUAGAAAUAAUUAGAAAAUCUCACAUAACGUUCAGAUAAAGUUGUAUUGACAUUUUCUUCUGUUUUGGUCUUGCUUUCAUAUUUAGGAAGUGCUUACUCGAUGUGCAUCUAGCUUGGUUCUCAAGUGGUACUCACAUUAACAAACCACUUUAGUUUCUAGAAAGGCCGGCUCUUUUAUUUCAUUCCUUUAUUUUCCCUUCUCAGUCUCUCCUCAGAGGCUCAGACUAUUAGCUCUGUUCUCUCUUUUCAGUCUACUUCACUCAUUGAAACUCAAAUUCACUCUCAAAUUUUCAGUCUACGUAUUAUCAAAUUCUCUCUUUUCCACUUUGAAAUGUAAGGAAUCUGGUCUUAGUUCUGCAUGCAAUUAUGAUAGCCACUUUUAAAUCUAAUGUAAAUCAGUUUCACCAUUGGCACUAAUUUGGGAUGUUCAGAUUAUGGAGCUUGACUUGUCGAAGAAGAAUAGCAGAAAUGCAAAGGUCUACUACAAGAGCAGAUGGUGUCAGGUAUUUGUUUCUUUUUCCUGAUAUAAUGAAUUUUUCUGUAGCUUUUCUAUAAUUAUUAUUCAUUUGUUGAAAAUCAAUGUGCUAUUGGGUUUGGUGCAGAAGUCCUCUGCUGGAGAUGGUUCUGUAUGAGCUAACUUACGAUAAGGAUAUUCUUUCCACAUUUCUUCAGGUUCAUAUGUCUUUCCAUUUUCCAAUUCUGGUUUGUUCUGUCUCCGUAUUCGUAUAUAGUCUGCUGCAUAUGUUCCGGACAGUAUGUUUAACUACAAAUCGAACAUGUUUGAUAUGCACAAUCAUUUUGUCAAAUUAAAUUAACUUGGCUCUUUGAUGCAGCAAAUACAUCUAGUUGAUGGAGACAACUGCUGUAUCUUCAAUCAGCAACUGAAACUACUGCUGUAUCCUCUUGCACUCCAUUUUUUUGUUUGCUAGUUUGGAAGAAUGUGAUAGCUGUCAUUAUUUUCUUUGAAAUUGAGAACUCCCCUUGUUUUCUUACUAGAGUUUUAUACAAGUUGAAUUUGUUAAGUUUGGGUAUUGAUUUUGGUGGUUCAGUUUUCAGCAAUUGGUUGGUUAAGAUUGUUCUAUAUUGCUUUUGCCUUGUUAUAUUUUUCUUUAUGGCUGGUUAGCUUUGUUGCAUGUGCUGGUACCAUAGCUUUUCUUUUGGUUGAUUGCACUCCAGGUUUCUUUUCUUCUUUGAAGAUUGGACUUUCAUUGUGGACAUUUUAUUUAUUACAAAGGUAGACCAUAUUAUUAGAGCAGAGAAUAUGAUGGCAGCUCAGGAGAUCAUCAAGCUAUUUGCUGAGCUUAUUUCUAUUCGCAGGUUGAAGUCUGCUGUUCUUCUGUUGAUUACUUCUUCUAAAUAUAUUGCAAAGAAACUAGGGCCUUCUGUGCAAUGAAGGAAGCUGAUCUCCUUCCUGAUGAUCC